This 351-nucleotide unclassified non-coding RNA is filed under the name Acacia signata. Its description in RNAcentral is "partial external transcribed spacer". The record is from RNAcentral. Lineage: Eukaryota; Viridiplantae; Streptophyta; Magnoliopsida; Fabales; Fabaceae.
CGUGCCCGUCCACCGAACGGUCGGCAGGCGAUCCUCGUCGGUCAAGCGAGGUGGUAUGGUUCCCCAGAGGCCGGUUCUUGUGCUGCCUACCCCUUCAGGGGAAGCGGGCCACUUGAUGUAAGCCUCCAUCCGGCGCCCUCCAACGGGCGCAGGAGGACAACGGAGCACCCCCCGCGUUCCACCGAGCCCCAGCCGGUCGCGUGGCGCGCGGGGACGUGCGAUGCUCUCGGACCCAGCGAACGCCGUGGGCGAGGACUCACGUCCCAGUCCCUAUAGAAGCUCCGAUAUAAUGCAUGACGGCCGCUCCCGACCCCCGACCGCCCCGGCGGCGCGGGGGCGAGGCGCGGCGUC